CUACGGAGGGGGUUAGCGUUGUUCGGAAUCACUGGGCGUAAAGGACGCGUAGGCGGAUUGGAAAGUCAGAUGUGAAAUCCUACAGCUUAACUGUAGAACUGCAUUUGAAACUUCUAAUCUAGAGUAUGGGAGGGGGAGAUGGAAUUAGUGGUGUAGGGGUAAAAUCCGUAGAUAUCACUAAGAAUACCGAAAGCGAAGGCGAUCUCCUGGAACAUAACUGACGCUAAGGCGUGAAAGCGUGGGGAGCAAACGGGAUUAGAUACCCUAGUAGUCC
Molecule: ribosomal RNA, 274 nt
Filed under: uncultured bacterium
Lineage: Bacteria
Description: partial 16S ribosomal RNA
Rfam family: Bacterial small subunit ribosomal RNA
Source: RNAcentral